UGGGGAAUUUUGCGCAAUGGGGGAAACCCUGACGCAGCAACGCCGCGUGGGUGAUGAAGGCCUUCGGGUCGUAAAGCUCUGUCUGGAGGGAAGAAAUGAUUGGGAGCUAAUACCUCUUGAUCUUGACGGUACCUCUGAAGGAAGCACCGGCUAACUCCGUGCCAGCAGCCGCGGUAAUACGGAGGGUGCAAGCGUUGUUCGGAAUUAUUGGGCGUAAAGCGCGUGUAGGCGGUCUUUUAAGUCUGAUGUGAAAGCCCCGGGCUCAACCUGGGAAGUGCAUUGGAAACUGGGAGGCUUGAGUACGGGAGAGGAGAGUGGAAUUCCUAGUGUAGGAGAGAAAUCCGUAGAUAUUAGGAGGAACACCGGUGGCGAAGGCGGCUCUCUGGACCGAUACUGACGCUGAGACGCGAAAGCGUGGGUAGCAAACA
Molecule: ribosomal RNA, 428 nt
Filed under: uncultured bacterium
Lineage: Bacteria
Description: bacterial SSU rRNA
Rfam family: Bacterial small subunit ribosomal RNA
Source: RNAcentral